RNAcentral lists this unclassified non-coding RNA (376 nucleotides) under uncultured Kickxellales. Its description in RNAcentral is "sequence contains 5.8S rRNA gene, ITS2, 28S rRNA gene". The record is from RNAcentral. Lineage: Eukaryota; Fungi; Kickxellomycota; Kickxellomycetes; Kickxellales.
AACGCAUCUUGCACUAUUCGGCUUCCCCGGAUAGUAUGCCUGGUUGAGUGUCUGUGUAUCUCUCCUAACCUAGUGUUUUUGUGAUGCUAGGCUUUAGGGACUUGGGGUCAUAACUCGUCGGAAACUAUUCUUAUAGCACCCGGUGAACCCUUUAAAUAUAGUAAGCUCCCAUCUGUUUCCAUUGGAAAUACGCAAACUUGGGGAUGGCGUCGUAGCAAUCUUCGUAUUGUCGAAACGCCUACCACUCCUCUAAUCUGCGGUGCUAAUCCAUGUGGGUGGGCGAAGCUUGACGACUGGCAAAGCGCCAUGCUCUAACUAUUCAGAGUACACGAACAAUAAUGACCUCAACUCAGGUAGGACGACCCGCUGGACUUAA